This 151-nucleotide ribosomal RNA is filed under the name uncultured Bacteroidota bacterium. Its description in RNAcentral is "uncultured Bacteroidetes bacterium partial 16S ribosomal RNA". It matches the Rfam family "Bacterial small subunit ribosomal RNA", at positions 345 to 504 of the family's 1533-position model. The record is from RNAcentral. Lineage: Bacteria; Pseudomonadati; Bacteroidota.
GAGGCAGCAGUGAGGAAUAUUGGUCAAUGGGCGGGAGCCUGAACCAGCCAAGUAGCGUGCAGGAUGACGGCCCUAUGGGUUGUAAACUUCUUUUACACAGGAAUAAAGUGAGCUACGUUAGCCGCGGUAUUACGAAGAGUAGACGAGGCCC